GGUUAUGUUUAAAGUUAUUCGUGGGUUAUUAAACUCGCACAAAAACAAAACAGAAAACAACAAAAAACAAUGCAAACAAUGCCAAAUAAACCUGUAAAAAAGUACUUUUAUUAUUCAAAAUGAAAUAUCAUAUAAUUCAGUUGGUAUACGAAUAUUUUUUGAUUUAUUUAUAAUGUUUGGUGUCAAAAAUAUGUGAGAAAUGAGGUAUCUACCUAAUGGUAGGAAGAAAUUAAUUAUGUAAUGGUAGGAAAAAUAAUUUCACUUUAAUUAUGUAUUAGAAAAUCAGUAAUCUUAAAUUAGGAUGCAUCAAUGGAGAAGAAGGCAAUUGUAAUCACAA
This is a long non-coding RNA of Sitophilus oryzae (rice weevil), 337 nucleotides long. RefSeq lists it as uncharacterized. NCBI's taxonomy places the organism in Eukaryota, Metazoa, Arthropoda, Insecta, Coleoptera, Curculionidae. The record is from RefSeq and is a predicted model, not a curated record. The transcript is spliced from 2 exons.